This 555-nucleotide small RNA is filed under the name Arabidopsis thaliana (thale cress). RNAcentral's name for it is "ATSL033000". Lineage: Eukaryota; Viridiplantae; Streptophyta; Magnoliopsida; Brassicales; Brassicaceae. The record is from RNAcentral.
ACGAAAGCCUCUCUACUUAGCACUCUUUAUAGAGGAGUUCUACCACGCAUCAGAAUGCUUCUGGAUACCGCUGGCAAUGGGAAUUUCCAGAACAAAGAUGUUGAAGAAGGCUGGGAAUUGGUUGAGAACCUUGCUCAAUCAGAUGGUAAUUACAACGAGGACUGCGAUAGGACCGUCAGAAGCACAGCAGACUCUGAUGACAAACACAGGAAGGAGAUCAAAGCGCUGAAUGACAAGCUGGACAUGAUUCUUCUUAGCCAGCAGAAGCAUGUGCACUUCUUUGUUGAUAACGAGCAGUAUCAAGUCCAAGAUGGGGAGGGUAACCUGUUGGAAGAAGUCAGCUACGUCAACAACAACCAGAGUGGCUACAAAGGAUACAAUAACUUCAAAACCAACAAACACAACCUCUCCUACCGUAGCACCAACGUUGCUAAUCCUCAGGAUCAGGUGUAUCCUCCACAGCAACAACAAGGUCAGAACAAACCUUUUGUUCCCUACAACCAAGGUUUUGUUCCAAAGCAGCAAUUUCAGGGGAAUUACCAGCCGCAACCACCA